Molecule: ribosomal RNA, 253 nt
Filed under: uncultured bacterium
Lineage: Bacteria
Description: partial 16S ribosomal RNA
Rfam family: Bacterial small subunit ribosomal RNA
Source: RNAcentral
UACGAACUGUGCAAACGUUAUUCGGAUUCACUGGGCUUAAAGGGCGCGUAGGCGGCUUGCCAAGUAGGGUGUGAAAGCCCCCGGCUUAACCGGGGAAUUGCGCCCUAAACUGGCGAGCUGGAGUGAGAUAGGGGUGUGUGGAACUUCCGGUGGAGCGGUGAAAUGUGUUGAUAUCGGAAGGAACGCCGGUGGCGAAAGCGACACACUGGGUCUCAACUGACGCUGAGGCACGAAAGCCAGGGGAGCGAACGGG